RNAcentral lists this ribosomal RNA (443 nucleotides) under uncultured bacterium. RNAcentral describes it as "partial 16S ribosomal RNA". It matches the Rfam family "Bacterial small subunit ribosomal RNA", at positions 338 to 795 of the family's 1533-position model. The record is from RNAcentral.
CCUACGGGAGGCAGCAGUGAGGAAUAUUGGUCAAUGGGCGCGAGCCUGAACCAGCCAAGCAGCGUGAAGGAUGACUGCCUUACGGGUUGUAAACUCCUUUUAAGGGGGAAGAGCAGAAGACGGUACCCCUUGAAUAAGCCACGGCUAACUACGUGCCAGCAGCCGCGGGAAUACGUAGGUGGCAAGCGUUGUCCGGAUUUACUGGGUGUAAAGGGCGUGCAGCCGGGAAGACAAGUCAGAUGUGAAAUCCCGCGGCUCAACCGCGGAACUGCAUUUGAAACUGUUUUUCUUGAGUAUAGGAGAGGUAAGCGGAAUGCCUGGUGUAGCGGUGAAAUGCGUAGAUAUUAGGAAGAACACCAGUGGCGAAGGCGGAUUACUGGACGACAACUGACGGUGAGGCGCGAAAGCGUGGGGAGCAAACAGGAUUAGAUACCCUUGUAGUC